AACGAACGCUGGCGGCAGGCCUAACACAUGCAAGUCGAGCGAGGACUUCGGUUCUAGCGGCGGACGGGUGAGUAACGCGUGGGAAUGUGCCCUUCUCUACGGACUAGCCCUGGGAAACUGGGAGUAAUACCGUAUACGCCCUAUUGGGGAAAGAUUUAUCGGAGAAGGAUCAGCCCGCGUUGGAUUAGGUAGUUGGUGGGGUAAUGGCCUACCAAGCCGACGAUCCAUAGCUGGUUUGAGAGGAUGAUCAGCCACACUGGGACUGAGACACGGCCCAGACUCCUACGGGAGGCAGCAGUGGGGGAUCUUAGACAAUGGGGGCAAGCCUGAUCUAGCCAUGCCGCGUGAGUGAUGAAGGCCUUAGGGUUGUAAAGCUCUUUCAGCUGGGAAGAUAAUGACGGUACCAGCAGAAGAAGCCCCGGCUAACUCCGUG
Molecule: ribosomal RNA, 433 nt
Filed under: uncultured bacterium
Lineage: Bacteria
Description: partial 16S ribosomal RNA
Rfam family: Bacterial small subunit ribosomal RNA
Source: RNAcentral